AUGGAUCCUAGGAGAAGAGCUACAUCAGAUGAUCCAGUUUGGAAGUAUGGGUUCUGGCCAGAUUUAGAGAGGAAAGAUUUACUCCAGUGUACAUUGUGUGGCAAGAUAGUCCAUGCUGGAGUGAGAAGGCUGAAGCAGCACCUUUCUGGGGGUUGUAGUGAUGCAGAUAUGUGUCCCGAGGCAUCUAUGGAGAUUAGGAUAGAGAUGCGCAAAUCCUUAAACACUAGAAAGUUUAAAGCUAUGGAGCGAUAUAUUGAUGAGAAGGAUGAAGCUGAAGUUCAAAGGCGCCGUUCUGUCAUAUACAGAAGAUGA
Molecule: ribosomal RNA, 312 nt
Filed under: Triticum aestivum (bread wheat)
Lineage: Eukaryota; Viridiplantae; Streptophyta; Magnoliopsida; Poales; Poaceae
Description: partial small subunit ribosomal RNA
Source: RNAcentral